This 234-nucleotide long non-coding RNA is filed under the name Elaeis guineensis (African oil palm). RNAcentral's name for it is "long non-coding RNA (EGUI_LNC065526)". Lineage: Eukaryota; Viridiplantae; Streptophyta; Magnoliopsida; Arecales; Arecaceae. The record is from RNAcentral.
UACACUCGCAUCCAUCUGCAAAUGAUAAAGAUCAUCAAUCAAGAAAGCACGUGCAACAAUUUAAUUUUCAAAAUAAAUUGAACACAUGUCUUUAUUGAAAUAAAAAUUAUAGUUAUCUUGUGUCAGUUCAGAGAUAGAAAUCAAAUUUUUACUGACUACAGGUACAUAAUAAUAGUCUUUCAAAAGUAAACUAAGUCCUAAUGAUAGUCGCAGAGGAUACAUUCCGACGGCCAC